RNAcentral lists this ribosomal RNA (484 nucleotides) under uncultured bacterium. RNAcentral's name for it is "partial 16S ribosomal RNA". It matches the Rfam family "Bacterial small subunit ribosomal RNA", at positions 30 to 507 of the family's 1533-position model. The record is from RNAcentral.
AUUGAACGCUGGCGGCAGGCCUAACACAUGCAAGUCGAGCGGAUGAAGGGAGCUUGCUCCUGGAUUCAGCGGCGGCCGGGUGAGUAAUGCCUAGGAAUCUGCCUGGUAGUGGGGGAUAACGUCCGGAAACGGGCGCUAAUACCGCAUACGUCCUGAGGGAGAAAGUGGGGGAUCUUCGGACCUCACGCUAUCAGAUGAGCCUAGGUCGGAUUAGCUAGUUGGUGGGGUAAAGGCCUACCAAGGCGACGAUCCGUAACUGGUCUGAGAGGAUGAUCAGUCACACUGGAACUGAGACACGGUCCAGACUCCUACGGGAGGCAGCAGUGGGGAAUAUUGGACAAUGGGCGAAAGCCUGAUCCAGCCAUGCCGCGUGUGUGAAGAAGGUCUUCGGAUUGUAAAGCACUUUAAGUUGGGAGGAAGGGCAGUAAGUUAAUACCUUGCUGUUUUGACGUUACCAACAGAAUAAGCACCGGCUAACUUCGUG